UACAGAGGGGGCAAGCGUUGUUCGGAAUUACUGGGCGUAAAGGGCGCGUAGGCGGCCUUCUAAGUCGAACGUGAAAUCCCCGGGCUCAACCCGGGAACUGCGUCCGAUACUGGAAGGCUUGAAUCCGGGAGAGGGAUGCGGAAUUCCAGGUGUAGCGGUGAAAUGCGUAGAGAUCAGGAGGAACACCUAUGGCGAAAGCAGGUUACUGGCCCAAUACUGACGCUGAGCUGCGAAAGCUAGGGGAGCAAACAGG
This 253-nucleotide ribosomal RNA is filed under the name uncultured bacterium. Its description in RNAcentral is "partial 16S ribosomal RNA". It matches the Rfam family "Bacterial small subunit ribosomal RNA", at positions 524 to 776 of the family's 1533-position model. The record is from RNAcentral.